UGAAUCUCAGUGGAUCGUGGC
RNAcentral lists this non-coding RNA (21 nucleotides) under Arabidopsis thaliana (thale cress). The record is from RNAcentral. Lineage: Eukaryota; Viridiplantae; Streptophyta; Magnoliopsida; Brassicales; Brassicaceae.